Molecule: transfer RNA, 87 nt
Filed under: Nitzschia alba
Lineage: Eukaryota; Bacillariophyta; Bacillariophyceae; Bacillariales; Bacillariaceae
Description: tRNA-Ser
Rfam family: tRNA
About the family: Transfer RNA (tRNA) molecules are approximately 80 nucleotides in length. Their secondary structure includes four short double-helical elements and three loops (D, anti-codon, and T loops).
Source: RNAcentral
AGAGAAAUGGCUGAGUGGUUAAAAGCAAUAGAUUGCUAAUCUAUCAUACAAUAUUUUGUAUCCAGGGUUCAAAUCCCUGUUUCUCUU